GUCUGCUGUCAAAUCCAGGGGCUCAACUCCUGACCGGCAGUGGAAACUGAACAGCUAGAGUGCGGUAGGGGCAGAGGGAAUUCCCGGCGUAGCGGUGAAAUGCGUAGAGAUCGGGAAGAACACCGGUGGCGAAAGCGCUCUGCUGGGCCGCAACUGACACUCAGGGACGAAAGCUAGGGGAGCGAAUGGGAUUAGAUACCCCAGUAGUCCUAGCCGUAAACGAUGGAGACUAGGUGUUGCCUGUAUCGACCCGGGCAGUGCCGAAGCUAACGCGUUAAGUCUCCCGCCUGGGGAGUACGCACGCMAGUGUGAACUCAAAUGAAUUGACGG
This 330-nucleotide ribosomal RNA is filed under the name uncultured cyanobacterium. Its description in RNAcentral is "bacterial SSU rRNA". It matches the Rfam family "Bacterial small subunit ribosomal RNA", at positions 587 to 916 of the family's 1533-position model. The record is from RNAcentral. Lineage: Bacteria; Bacillati; Cyanobacteriota.